RNAcentral lists this long non-coding RNA (1069 nucleotides) under Macaca mulatta (Rhesus monkey). RNAcentral's name for it is "lncRNA (ENSMMUG00000064541.1)". Lineage: Eukaryota; Metazoa; Chordata; Mammalia; Primates; Cercopithecidae. The record is from RNAcentral.
GCACCAGCGUCUCGUGAGAACUCAAAUCGGCUGAAUGUCCCAGGCUGAAGUGAGAAGAGGGAAGUUUCCACCCUGCCCCAUGGACAUCGCUUCUGAGUGGCCUCCCUCCUGCUCACAGACACCUCUGAGAUUUCCUGGCUGACACAUCGCAUCUCCCUGUGGCCACAGCCAAGCAACACCAGAUGUCUGCAGUAGCAGCAACACUUUGGAUUCCUGAUGGAAAACCCUAAGACGAGCCUCUGUGAAAUACCUGCUUCAUUUUGGCUUCAUUUUCAUGCCUUGUUAUCUGACCCAUUUACUUCUUACCUCAGGGCACAGACCACGGCUGUGACACUCUGUAAAACCCUGUGGGAUGGGGAAAAGUAAAAAUGACACACCCCGGCCAGGCACACGCCUGUAAUCCUAGCACUUUGGGAGGCCGAGGCGGGUGGAUCACCUGAGGUCAGGAGUGCGAGACAAGCCUGGCCAACAUGGUGAAACCCCGUCUCUACUAAAAAAUACAAAAAUUAGCCAGGUGUGGUAGUGGGCACCUGUAAUCCCAGCUACUCUGGAGGCUGAGACAGGAGAAUCGCUUGAACCUCGGGGACAGAGGUUGCAGUGAGCUGAGAUUGUGCCACUGCACUCCAGCCUGGCGAAAGAGUGAAACUCCAUCUUGGCGGGGGGGUGGCAGGGGGACGGAAGAAAAAAGACACAGACGUCUCAGGGCAUGGCUGCUUAGGAGGCUAUGAGGCUCUUGCCGCAAGCUUUUCCCCACUUUUCAUGGCUGCCCUCAGAGGAUAGAAUUGCCACAAUUUUAAGGAUAAAGAAACAGGCUUGGAGAGGCCAGAGGCUUGCGCAAUACCACACAAACAGGGGUGCCUUUGUGUUUCUGGGUCAAUGCUGUUUUUCACACAGACUGGACCUCGUGGGGGUCAGGAGCAGUGGGACCACCUCGUGCUCUCUCUGUGCUCAUACCUUCUCAUGGUGUCGAUCUCUCCUUGCCUCCCAGACAGAGCAACGCGUGCUUGCCACCUUGAUGGUGCAAAUGUCACUCGAUCUGAAUUUGAGGAACUGUCAUGCUCUUCCCUAA